RNAcentral lists this ribosomal RNA (425 nucleotides) under uncultured bacterium. RNAcentral describes it as "partial 16S ribosomal RNA". It matches the Rfam family "Bacterial small subunit ribosomal RNA", at positions 354 to 796 of the family's 1533-position model. The record is from RNAcentral.
GUGGGGAAUAUUGGACAAUGGGCGCAAGCCUGAUCCAGCCAUGCCGCGUGAGUGAUGAAGGCCCUAGGGUUGUAAAGCUCUUUCACCGAUGAAGAUAAUGACGGUAGUCGGAGAAGAAGCCCCGGCUAACUUCGUGCCAGCAGCCGCGGUAAUACGAAGGGGGCUAGCGUUGUUCGGAAUUACUGGGCGUAAAGCGCACGUAGGCGGAUAUUUAAGUCAGGGGUGAAAUCCCAGAGCUCAACUCUGGAACUGCUUUUGAUACUGGGUAUAUCGAGUAUGGAAGAGGUGAAUGGAAUUCGGAGUGUAGAGGUGAAAUUCGUAGAUAUUGGGAAGAACACCGGUGGCGAAGGCGACACACUGGCUCAUUACUGACGCUGAGGCGCGAAAGCGUGGGGAGCAAACAGGAUUAGAAACCCCUGUAGUCC